CAGGGUACAACCUCUGCAGAGUGUAAAACAGGUAUACUAGCCGAGCUCACGGUCAUGAGCAGCUCAGGACUCUCGCAUUAUUAAAUUAUGGAACUUAAAUUCAAUUUGUCAUUUGCAUUGCAUGGGAUUUAUUAUUAAUUUUGUUCUAUUACUCUUGUUAUGGUUUGGUAUUUACUUACACUUAGUAACUGCUAAUAAAAUUUGACCAACUUAUUAAAAGCAAUGCUCAGCUAUAACCCCUAUUGUUGAUCAGCCUUACGCUUCACAUGAACUUCCACCUUUGGUGAGUUCAUGCACAUUAUUCCCCACAACUUGUUGAGCUAUGGACGUAUGUGAGCUCACCCUUGCUGUCUCACCCCCACAGGAGAAGAACAGGUGGUUCAAGAGGAGCCACACAACGAGGAGUUUGACUUGAUCUAGGUGGCAUCUCCCAGUCGACUUUAUGGCGCCAAGGAUGGAAUUUAGUUCAUUUUAUAUUUAUCUUUUAUUUUAUAAGACUUCCGCUAUGUAAUAAGUACUCUGAUGAUAUUGUGACAUUUAUCUCUAUACACUCUGUUAUUAUAUGUGUUGUCUUCUUUGGCGCAUAUAUGAGAUGCACCCGGCUUUAUCCCUUAAAUCCGGGUGUGACACUUCUGGCCGAG
RNAcentral lists this long non-coding RNA (641 nucleotides) under Zea mays. Its description in RNAcentral is "drought responsive lncRNA". Lineage: Eukaryota; Viridiplantae; Streptophyta; Magnoliopsida; Poales; Poaceae. The record is from RNAcentral.